RNAcentral lists this ribosomal RNA (492 nucleotides) under uncultured bacterium. RNAcentral describes it as "partial 16S ribosomal RNA". It matches the Rfam family "Bacterial small subunit ribosomal RNA", at positions 29 to 507 of the family's 1533-position model. The record is from RNAcentral.
AGUGAACGCUGGCGGUAGGCCUAACACAUGCAAGUCGAACGGCAGCACAGUAAGCGCUUGCUCUUACGGUUGGCGAGUGGCGGACGGGUGAGGAAUACAUCGGAAUCUACUUUUUCGGGGGGGAUUACGUAGGGAAACUUACGCUACUACCGCAUACGACCUACGGCUGAAAGCAGGGGAUCUUCGCACCUUGCGCGACUGAAUGAGCCGAUGUCGGAUUAGCUAGUUGGCGGGGUAAAGGCCCACCAAGGCGACGAUCCGUAGCUGGUCUGAGAGGAUGAUCAGCCACACUGGAACUGAGACACGGUCCAGACUCCUACGGGAGGCAGCAGUAGGGAAUAUUGGACAAUGGGCGCAAGCCUGAUCCAGCCAUACCGCGUGGGUGAAGAAGGCCUUCGGGUUGUAAAGCCCUUUUGUUGGGAAAGAAAAGCAGCAGGUUAAUCCCCCGCUGUUCUGACGGUACCCAAUGAGUAAGCACCGGCUAACUUCGUG